UGGGUUGUGGCUCAGUGGUAGAGCACUUGCCUAGCAUGUGUGGGGUACUGAGUUCGAGCCUCCGCACCACAU
Non-coding RNA from Ictidomys tridecemlineatus (thirteen-lined ground squirrel), 72 nucleotides. Lineage: Eukaryota; Metazoa; Chordata; Mammalia; Rodentia; Sciuridae. The record is from Rfam.